Molecule: long non-coding RNA, 500 nt
Organism: Gossypium raimondii (Peruvian cotton)
Lineage: Eukaryota; Viridiplantae; Streptophyta; Magnoliopsida; Malvales; Malvaceae
Exons: 2
Source: RefSeq, a predicted model, not a curated record
CAUCGCAGCAAUCAGCAGUCGCACCCCACACACGUCGCAGUAACCGCCCACGUUCAGCCCUCCGCGCGCACGUCGCACAUGUCUCCUCUAGUACGCACCUGCAAUAAGCCACGAACGAUAUCAGCAAGAGAGACAAGGCAAAAACUGGAGGAGGAGAAAUCCUUACCAAAAGAGGCGCGCCGUCGACAUCUUUGCUUCUCUUCGUCCAAAUCGAAGUUGGAAGGGGGGAGUUUGGCUUGAAAACAGAGGAGAAGGUGGAGCAGUCCUUGUGGUGGCUGCUGUUGCAGAAAAGGGAAAUAAUUUUAGGGUUUUAAAAUGGGAUUUUAUAGGGUUCAAAAUGGGCCAUUUACGCAAUUGGUCCCCUUGUUUUUACAUUUUUUUAAAUCAUUUUUUAUUUCUUUUAAAUUUUGUAAUAUGUUUUAUUUCUGUUUCAAAUUGAUCCAAAUGAUGUGCAGCGUUUUGGGCAGUUUGGGUAAAUUUCCCUUUCGGUCCUCUUCCUA